CCUACGGGGGUCUGCAGUGGGGAAUAUUGGACAAUGGGCGAAAGCCUGAUCCAGCCAUGCCGCGUGUGUGAAGAAGGCCUUCGGGUUGUAAAGCACUUUCAGUGGGGAAGAAAGCCUUGGGGCUAAUACCCUCGAGGAAGGACAUCACCCACAGAAGAAGCACCGGCUAACUCCGUGCCAGCAGCCGCGGUAAUACGGAGGGUGCGAGCGUUAAUCGGAAUUACUGGGCGUAAAGCGCGCGUAGGCGGUCUGAUAAGCCGGUUGUGAAAGCCCCGGGCUCAACCUGGGAACGGCAUCCGGAACUGUCAGGCUAGAGUGCAGGAGAGGAAGGUAGAAUUCCCGGUGUAGCGGUGAAAUGCGUAGAGAUCGGGAGGAAUACCAGUGGCGAAGGCGGCCUUCUGGACUGACACUGACGCUGAGGUGCGAAAGCGUGGGUAGCAAACAGGAUUAGAUACCCCGGUAGUC
RNAcentral lists this ribosomal RNA (465 nucleotides) under Vreelandella stevensii. RNAcentral describes it as "partial 16S ribosomal RNA". It matches the Rfam family "Bacterial small subunit ribosomal RNA", at positions 338 to 795 of the family's 1533-position model. The record is from RNAcentral. Lineage: Bacteria; Pseudomonadati; Pseudomonadota; Gammaproteobacteria; Oceanospirillales; Halomonadaceae.